RNAcentral lists this ribosomal RNA (429 nucleotides) under uncultured Sedimenticola sp. RNAcentral's name for it is "bacterial SSU rRNA". It matches the Rfam family "Bacterial small subunit ribosomal RNA", at positions 355 to 776 of the family's 1533-position model. Lineage: Bacteria; Pseudomonadati; Pseudomonadota; Gammaproteobacteria; Chromatiales; Sedimenticolaceae. The record is from RNAcentral.
UGGGGAAUAUUGGACAAUGGGCGCAAGCCUGAUCCAGCAAUACCGCGUGUGUGAAGAAGGCCUGCGGGUUGUAAAGCACUUUCAAUUGUGAAGAAAAGCGGGAGGCUAAUACCCUUCUGUCUUGACGUUAACUUUAGAAGAAGCACCGGCUAACUCUGUGCCAGCAGCCGCGGUAAUACAGAGGGUGCGAGCGUUAAUCGGAAUUACUGGGCGUAAAGCGUGCGUAGGCGGUUUAGUCAGUCAGAUGUGAAAGCCCCGGGCUUAACCUGGGAAUUGCAUUUGAAACUGCUGAACUAGAGUGUGGUAGAGGGAAGUGGAAUUCCGGGUGUAGCGGUGAAAUGCGUAGAUAUCCGGAGGAACACCAGUGGCGAAGGCGACUUCCUGGACCAACACUGACGCUGAGGUACGAAAGCGUGGGUAGCAAACAGG